CAUGGCUCAGAGUGAACGCUGGCGGCGUGCUUAACACAUGCAAGUCGAACGGUAACAGGUCUUUCGAGACGCUGACGAGUGGCGAACGGGUGAGUAAUGUAUAGUUAAUUUGCCCCUUGGAGAGGGAUAGCCACUGGAAACGGUGAUUAAUACCUCAUACUCCUUUUCACCAUAAGGUGGACAGGGAAACGGUUUGUUCUGCCAAGGGAUAAGACUAUAUCCUAUCAGCUAGUUGGUGGUGUAAGAGACCACCAAGGCUAUGACGGGUAACUGGUCUGAGAGGAUGAUCAGUCACACUGGAACUGAGACACGGUCCAGACUCCUACGGGAGGCAGCAGUGGGGAAUAUUGGGCAAUGGAGGCAACUCUGACCCAGCAACGCCGCGUGGAGGAUGACGCAUUUCGGUGUGUAAACUCCUUUUUUGUGGGAAGAUAA
RNAcentral lists this ribosomal RNA (435 nucleotides) under Alvinella pompejana symbiont apg73. Its description in RNAcentral is "bacterial SSU rRNA". It matches the Rfam family "Bacterial small subunit ribosomal RNA", at positions 18 to 451 of the family's 1533-position model. Lineage: Bacteria; Pseudomonadati; Campylobacterota. The record is from RNAcentral.